Molecule: ribosomal RNA, 1619 nt
Filed under: Salmonella enterica
Lineage: Bacteria; Pseudomonadati; Pseudomonadota; Gammaproteobacteria; Enterobacterales; Enterobacteriaceae
Description: partial 23S ribosomal RNA
Rfam family: Bacterial large subunit ribosomal RNA
Source: RNAcentral
CUGCGGCAGCGACACUCAGGUGUUGUUGGGUAGGGGAGCGUUCUGUAAGCCUGCGAAGGUGGCCUGUGAGGGUUGCUGGAGGUAUCAGAAGUGCGAAUGCUGACAUAAGUAACGAUAAAGCGGGUGAAAAGCCCGCUCGCCGGAAGACCAAGGGUUCCUGUCCAACGUUAAUCGGGGCAGGGUGAGUCGACCCCUAAGGCGAGGCCGAAAGGCGUAGUCGAUGGGAAACGGGUUAAUAUUCCCGUACUUGGUGUUACUGCGAAGGGGGGACGGAGAAGGCUAUGUUGGCCGGGCGACGGUUGUCCCGGUUUAAGCGUGUAGGCUGGUUUUCCAGGCAAAUCCGGAAAAUCAAGGCUGAGGCGUGACGACGAGGCACUACGGUGCUGAAGCAACAAAUGCCCUGCUUCCAGGAAAAGCCUCUAAGCAUCAGGUAACAUCAAAUCGUACCCCAAACCGACACAGGUGGUCAGGUAGAGAAUACCAAGGCGCUUGAGAGAACUCGGGUGAAGGAACUAGGCAAAAUGGUGCCGUAACUUCGGGAGAAGGCACGCUGACACGUAGGUGAAGUGAUUUACUCACGGAGCUGAAGUCAGUCGAAGAUACCAGCUGGCUGCAACUGUUUAUUAAAAACACAGCACUGUGCAAACACGAAAGUGGACGUAUACGGUGUGACGCCUGCCCGGUGCCGGAAGGUUAAUUGAUGGGGUCAGCGCAAGCGAAGCUCCUGAUCGAAGCCCCGGUAAACGGCGGCCGUAACUAUAACGGUCCUAAGGUAGCGAAAUUCCUUGUCGGGUAAGUUCCGACCUGCACGAAUGGCGUAAUGAUGGCCAGGCUGUCUCCACCCGAGACUCAGUGAAAUUGAACUCGCUGUGAAGAUGCAGUGUACCCGCGGCAAGACGGAAAGACCCCGUGAACCUUUACUAUAGCUUGACACUGAACAUUGAGCCUUGAUGUGUAGGAUAGGUGGGAGGCUUUGAAGUGUGGACGCCAGUCUGCAUGGAGCCGACCUUGAAAUACCACCCUUUAAUGUUUGAUGUUCUAACGUGGACCCGUGAUCCGGGUUGCGGACAGUGUCUGGUGGGUAGUUUGACUGGGGCGGUCUCCUCCUAAAGAGUAACGGAGGAGCACGAAGGUUGGCUAAUCCUGGUCGGACAUCAGGAGGUUAGUGCAAUGGCAUAAGCCAGCUUGACUGCGAGCGUGACGGCGCGAGCAGGUGCGAAAGCAGGUCAUAGUGAUCCGGUGGUUCUGAAUGGAAGGGCCAUCGCUCAACGGAUAAAAGGUACUCCGGGGAUAACAGGCUGAUACCGCCCAAGAGUUCAUAUCGACGGCGGUGUUUGGCACCUCGAUGUCGGCUCAUCACAUCCUGGGGCUGAAGUAGGUCCCAAGGGUAUGGCUGUUCGCCAUUUAAAGUGGUACGCGAGCUGGGUUUAGAACGUCGUGAGACAGUUCGGUCCCUAUCUGCCGUGGGCGCUGGAGAACUGAGGGGGGCUGCUCCUAGUACGAGAGGACCGGAGUGGACGCAUCACUGGUGUUCGGGUUGUCAUGCCAAUGGCACUGCCCGGUAGCUAAAUGCGGAAGAGAUAAGUGCUGAAAGCAUCUAAGCACGAAACUUGCCCCGA